UCUGACUCAGAAAUGAAUUGCAAACACCUGUAGCCUACUUGUCAGACAAGUAAAGAAGAUUUUGCUAAGUCAUUUGGUGCUGCGGUUUUAUCCUAUUUGACUAUAUUUGCAUUGUACAGCUUACUGUAAUCACUUGACAGUUCACAGCCAUCACCAUUCCCCCCUAGCGCACCAUUGUCGCACUACACAUUUCCCUUUCUCUCAUCAUGUAAGUGCUGCCCCCUGUACAACGGCUUGAACCCGGGCUGGUUCCUGACUGUACCGUGUGCUUGAAGGGAGAAAUAUGCCAUUUACAUUUCUGGAUGAAAUCUCUUCUUGGAAUGGUUUACCUCCAGUGAAGGUUGAUGUUUCCUAGUCGGGAACCCRCAGGGUUGCUUUCAAGAUUGACCCCCGACAGCUUGUGGCCUCUGCCAAUCUCCUGAGCGAGCUCCGCCUCCCACCGGACAAGACUGCUCACAAGCUCCCACUGCGUCUGCCUGCGGCAAAGCCCAGCAACCUCCGCGAGGKCCUUGGCCAAUCGCCCYGGAGGAAGGACCUCAURGCCAUGGACACGGAGUCCACCUACUCGGGGUACUCGUACUACUCUGGUCGCUCCCGGGGAUCCCACAGACAUGGGGAGCGCAGCCGCGACCACCACAAGUCACGCAGCAAGGAUGGCAGCCGCUCGGAGAAGUCUGUCACCAUCAACGCACCGCCAGCAGAACCGCUGCUGGGAGACUCGUCGGUACUGGGGGAGGAUGUCCAGGUAGGCCAAUCUCUCCAC
Long non-coding RNA from Salvelinus sp. IW2-2015, 763 nucleotides. RefSeq lists it as uncharacterized. NCBI's taxonomy places the organism in Eukaryota, Metazoa, Chordata, Actinopteri, Salmoniformes, Salmonidae. The record is from RefSeq and is a predicted model, not a curated record.